Long non-coding RNA from Bos taurus (domestic cattle), 1103 nucleotides. NCBI's taxonomy places the organism in Eukaryota, Metazoa, Chordata, Mammalia, Artiodactyla, Bovidae. The record is from Ensembl.
CUGUUAAGCGAGCCUGAGGGUGGUGAAGGCUUAGCUUGAACCUUGACACAGAUGCUAAUUACGCUUCUCCUACAGCCCAUAGGCCGUCCUUCCUCAUUUCACUUUCACUUUGGAGAACUGUACUGAGGGGCCCAGAAAGCAGAGUCCGGGCCCAGACUUGAAGAGGCCCCAGAAGCCGCACGCGUGCGACCGGGACGGCGGGGCGGGCAGGAGAGCGGGCGCGGGGGAGAGAGUGUUCGUGUGAGGCGUGGAUUCUGGAAUGUGCGUGUGCGCGGCCCCCGAGCACCGCCCGCGCGGCGCCGAUUGGCCGGGGGAGCGCGUCGGGGGAAACCUUUGGCUAAUCUCCUGCCACUCAGCCGGGUCGGGGUCGACGUCGGCGCCGGGCCGCAGCGCCCCGCGCGGAAGGACAAAUAGUCCCGGCGGCGCUGCCGCGCGCCCCUCCAAGGUUCUGCUUGCCCCGCCCGGGGCUGCCGGGGCCCAGAGGCCCGCGCGGCGGGGGAGGGGCGGCCUCCAAGGCCCCUCGACCCCCGCCCCCUCUUCGCCAUCGGACCGGUGGAUUGCGCUCCCUCGGGAAAAGAAAUUGGAUUCCGGGCUCCCUCCAGCCGGGAUCAGCGGAAAUCAGAGGCUGAGGCUGAGCCUGAGGCCGCGCCAGAAAGCUGAGUGGUAACGAAGCAUCAUGAAGAUUGCUCGUCCCGCCCCCCCUCCCCGCCCCGUCCGCUUUUCCGCCUGGCAUGGGACUCCCGCCCUCUCCAAGGAGAUCAUCGUUCUGAAAUUCACCUGGUUGCUGAUCCCUGGGAAGAGAAACUAUUUUGGAAACUUUCAGCCACCACCACCACUUCGUGUUUCUCUUGGACCUGAGAUGAUGAAAGAACCCUAUCCAGUCUGGGACUGGAGAUAUGUCUUAACGCAGUAACUCUGGAGAAAGCAACAUUCUUACCAGAAUCCUCUGGGAAAGAAGAAUAUUUUAAGCCCUCGGUUUAGCAGUAGUAAACUUCCCUAAUUCCCUUUCCCUUGCGGAGGUGGAGCAAAAGUGUGAACUUUAAGCAGAAUUUUUGGCUGAAAUGAUAGGAAUGUUCUAGGAAUUUGAGAGAGUAGCGCAGCCC